Small nucleolar RNA from Octodon degus (degu), 132 nucleotides. Its record names the gene SNORA70. It matches the Rfam family "Small nucleolar RNA SNORA70". From Rfam's summary of the family: snoRNA U70 seems to be exclusive to mammals and is a member of the H/ACA class of snoRNA which contain H (ANANNA) and ACA box motifs. H/ACA box snoRNAs are involved in the conversion of uridines to pseudouridines (5-ribosyluracil) a constituent of structural RNAs (transfer, ribosomal, small nuclear, and small nucleolar). The record is from Ensembl. Lineage: Eukaryota; Metazoa; Chordata; Mammalia; Rodentia; Octodontidae.
CUGUACAGAAACCCUUUUAGUCAAAAAGACUUAAUUGUGCCCAGUGUGCAGUGGCUGCACACAGUAACUUCCUCGGUAGUGUAUGCAGCCUGUUGCUUGUAUAGGCUGCCCUAUGGGACCUUGGAGACACUC